This 467-nucleotide ribosomal RNA is filed under the name uncultured bacterium. RNAcentral's name for it is "partial 16S ribosomal RNA". It matches the Rfam family "Bacterial small subunit ribosomal RNA", at positions 28 to 507 of the family's 1533-position model. The record is from RNAcentral.
GAUGAACGCUGGCGGCGUGCUUAACACAUGCAAGUCGAACGGAAAGGCCCAAGCUUGCUUGGGUACUCGAGUGGCGAACGGGUGAGUAACACGUGGGUGAUCUGCCCUGCACUUCGGGAUAAGCCUGGGAAACUGUGUCUAAUACCGGAUAGGACCACUUCUUGGAUGUUGUGGUGGAAAGUUUUUUCGGUGUGGGAUGAGCUCGCGGCCUAUCAGCUUGUUGGUGGGGUAAUGGCCUACCAAGGCGUCGACGGGUAGCCGGCCUGAGAGGGUGUACGGCCACAUUGGGACUGAGAUGCGGCACAGGCGCCUACGGGAGGAAGAAGUGGGGAAUAUUGCACAAUGGGCGCAGGCGUGAUGCAGCGGCGCCGCGUGGGGGAUGACGGACUUCGGGUUGUAGACUCCUUUCGCUAGGGACGAAGCGUUUUGUGACGGUACCUGGAGAAGAAGCACCGGCUAACUACGUG